GUAGGGGGCAAGCGUUGUCCGGAAUUAUUGGGCGUAAAGCGCGCGCAGGCGGCUAUUUAAGUCUGGUGUUUAAACCUUGGGCUCAACCUGAGGUCGCACUGGAAACUGGGUGGCUUGAGUACAGAAGAGGAAAGUGGAAUUCCACGUGUAGCGGUGAAAUGCGUAGAGAUGUGGAGGAACACCAGUGGCGAAGGCGACUUUCUGGGCUGUAACUGACGCUGAGGCGCGAAAGCGUGGGGAGCAAACAGGAUUAGAUACCCUGGUAGUCCACGCCGUAAACGAUGAGUGCUAGGUGUUAGGGGUUUCGAUACCCCUUGGUGCCGAAGUUAACACAGUAAGCACUCCGCCUGGGGAGUACGGUCGCAAGACUG
This 371-nucleotide ribosomal RNA is filed under the name uncultured organism. RNAcentral's name for it is "partial 16S ribosomal RNA". It matches the Rfam family "Bacterial small subunit ribosomal RNA", at positions 527 to 896 of the family's 1533-position model. The record is from RNAcentral.